AUUGAACGCUGGCGGCACGCCUAACACAUGCAAGUCGAGCGGUAGCAUGACGCGUAGCAAUACGAGUUGAUGACGAGCGGCGGACGGGUGAGGAAAACGUAGGAAUCUACCCUCGAGCGGGGGACAACCAAGGGAAACUUUGGCUAAUACCGCAUAAUCUCGAGAGAGUAAAGUUGCCGCAAGGUGACACUCGAGGAGGAGCCUGCGUCCGAUUAGCUAGUUGGUAGGGUAAAAGCCUGCCAAGGCGAUGAUCGGUAACUGGUCUGAGAGGACGACCAGUCACACUGGGACUGAGACACGGCCCAGACUCCUACGGGAGGCAGCAGUGGGGAAUAUUGGACAAUGGGGGCAACCCUGAUCCAGCGAUGCCGCGUGAGUGAAGAAGGCCUUCGGGUCGUAAAGCUCUUUAGGUUGGGAAGAAGUUUGGCUAAGGAUAAUUUAGUCAAGUUGACGGUACCGACAGAAUAAGCACCGGCAAACUCUGUGCCAGCAGCCGCAGUAA
RNAcentral lists this ribosomal RNA (502 nucleotides) under uncultured bacterium. RNAcentral's name for it is "partial 16S ribosomal RNA". It matches the Rfam family "Bacterial small subunit ribosomal RNA", at positions 29 to 523 of the family's 1533-position model. The record is from RNAcentral.